UACGGAGGUGGUUAGCGUCGGUCGGAAUUACUGGGCGUAAAGGGCGCGUAGGCGGCGUCGUAAGUCAGGCGUGAAAGGCCCGGGCUCAACCCGGGAACUGCGCUUGAUACUGCGGCGCUCGAGUCCGGGAGAGGAUGGCGGAAUUCCCAGUGUAGAGGUGAAAUUCGUAGAUAUUGGGAAGAACACCGGUGGCGAAGGCGGCCAUCUGGACCGGUACUGACGCUAAUGCGCGAAAGCGUGGGGAGCAAACAGG
This 253-nucleotide ribosomal RNA is filed under the name uncultured bacterium. Its description in RNAcentral is "partial 16S ribosomal RNA". It matches the Rfam family "Bacterial small subunit ribosomal RNA", at positions 524 to 776 of the family's 1533-position model. The record is from RNAcentral.